UGGUCAGAAAGUGCGUGUCCCAUCGAUGCAAAGAAAUGGUAAUCAGACGGAGCCAAGUCUGGCCGGGAUAGGUUCUGCUACGGGUGUAGAACACGUCGCUGCUGGGCUACUGUGCUGUUUUCCUUCUCAUUUUUGUAUCGUGGAAGAAAAAUCGGACUGCGACGUAACCUAAGGUUCGUAACCUAAGGCGCUAACCACUGCUCUGUCGUCGUCCGAUACUACUUGGUAUUUAGUGCCACCACAGAAAUAAGGAUGGAAAAUUAAUCAAGUACCUUAUAAUUUUGUCCAAUCAAAGUCAGUUACAUUUUACAUACAUCUUUUUCCCUAACUUUUGUAUUGUAUAUCACAUGAGGAAAUUUUGUAUGUUCAUUGUGCAGAUAAUGCGUAACAUAAAAACACCUUUAUCCCUUAGAGUGCUAUGAGCGCGUAUA
Molecule: long non-coding RNA, 431 nt
Organism: Bombus terrestris (buff-tailed bumblebee)
Lineage: Eukaryota; Metazoa; Arthropoda; Insecta; Hymenoptera; Apidae
Exons: 2
Source: RefSeq, a predicted model, not a curated record